Molecule: ribosomal RNA, 433 nt
Filed under: uncultured bacterium
Lineage: Bacteria
Description: partial 16S ribosomal RNA
Rfam family: Bacterial small subunit ribosomal RNA
Source: RNAcentral
AACGAACGCUGGCGGCAUGCCUAACACAUGCAAGUCGAACGAGACCUUCGGGUCUAGUGGCGCACGGGUGCGUAACGCGGGGGAACCUGCCCGUAGGUUCGGAAUAACUCCCCGAAAGGGGUGCUAAUACCGGAUAAUGUCUUCGGACCAAAGAUUUAUCGCCUUUGGAUGGGCCCGGGUUGGAUUAGCUAGUUGGGAGGGUAAAAGCCUACCAAGGCGACGAUCCAUAGCUGGUCUGAGAGGAUGAUCAGCCACACUGGGACUGGGACACGGCCCAGACCACGUCCGGGGGGCGGACUGGGGGAAGUUGGCAGCUGGGCGGAAGCCUGAUCCCAGUAACCCCGGUGAGUUAUGUAAGGCUUCAGGUUUAAAAGCUCCUUUACCCCGGGUUCUCAAGGCAGUUCCGGGGGAAAAAGCUCCGGCUAACCCCGUG